Molecule: long non-coding RNA, 777 nt
Organism: Rhipicephalus microplus (southern cattle tick)
Lineage: Eukaryota; Metazoa; Arthropoda; Arachnida; Ixodida; Ixodidae
Source: RefSeq, a predicted model, not a curated record
AAUUUUAUACGAGCGGUGUGAACCAUCUUUUGGCAGCAGCGGCCCGACCAGCAAGCACACGCCUGAGAUUUCGCUCCAUAUUUUACAGAUCAUGAAGUUUACCAGCCGCCCACAACAAUCACAACCUGGUGUAAAGAAGAAACGGUCACAAGGAUAGACCCCACGUACAAUAAAAUAUUUGUCGGAGACGAAGGCCUCUGUGCUAGUUCAAAGAAAGGUGCACCUCGCAUGACUCGGCUGCGAGCAUUCUGCAUUUUGGAUAGCUGUUGUCGACGUCAAACGCAGCGCCAUGGUAGCCCGUUGACCUGUUCUCGUCAGAUAUGUCAAUUUUAGCAACACAAAAGCCUCAGCACAUAAAACUAAAAAGAACCACAUUGACCUCUCACGUGCCGCACCUGCAACACGCGGCAAUCCCUCACGCACCAGUUGCGGUGGCCGGUGGAGAGAGAGUGACGGGAAUGCACCGGUUCGAGGCUACGCUUCUCCUCUUGUGAAAGCGGUUUGUAUAACAUCAUCUCCAACAAAUUUCCUUGUAGCGCAUGUAGAGGACAGGAAAAGAAAAUAAAGGCACAUUCAUACACACAGCGCUGUGGCAGCCUGCUGACCUGGCAUCAGUUUGUUUAUGUGCUAUUAAGCUAUUGAAUGGCGUUCUUUAAGAAUUAAGGUCUGGUGUUUGUUGAGCCUUAUGCAUCCAGACAUUCUGAAUCAUUUCUGAGGAUAAUAUUGUGCACUUGGUGGUUGCUGGUAACCGCUUUAUAAAGUAAUACUAGAACUUGU